GACGAACGCUGGCGGCGUGCUUAACACAUGCAAGUCGAGCGGUAAGGCCCCUUCGGGGGUACACGAGCGGCGAACGGGUGAGUAACACGUGAGCAAUCUGCCCAUCACAUCGGGAUAACUCCGGAAAACCGAAGCUAAUACCGAAUACGACCACCUCCGGCAUCGGAUGGUGGUGGAAAGUUCCGGCGGUGAUGGAUGAGCUCGCGGCCUAUCAGCUUGUUGGUGGGGUAACGGCCCACCAAGGCUUCGACGGGUAGCCGGCCUGAGGGGGUGACCGGCCACACUGGGACUGAGACACGGCCCAGACUCCUACGGGAGGCAGCAGUGGGGAAUAUUGGACAAUGGGCGAAAGCCUGAUCCAGCAACGCCGCGUGAGGGAUGACGGCCUUCGGGUUGUAAACCUCUUUCAGCAGGGACGAAGCGCAAGUGACGGUACCUGCAGAAGAAGCACCGGCCAACUACGUG
Molecule: ribosomal RNA, 465 nt
Filed under: uncultured bacterium
Lineage: Bacteria
Description: partial 16S ribosomal RNA
Rfam family: Bacterial small subunit ribosomal RNA
Source: RNAcentral